UUAAACACAUGAUUAAGUUUUGAAAUGUUACAAAACUUGAAAGGUUGAGGAAGACAAUGAGUCUUCUCAUCUUUGUAACUUUAUAAACUUAAGAGGUUAAGUGUAAGAGAGUUACACAUUUGAGAUUAAAUCAUGUUUAAUGUGUGAAUUAAACAUAUGAUUUAAUUUUGAAUGUUACAAAGAUGAAGAGGUUGAGGAAGACAAUGAGUCUUCUCAUCUUUGUAACUUUAUAAACUUAAGAGGUUAAGUGUAAGAGAGUUACACAUUUGAGAUUAAAUCAUGUUUAAUUUGUGAAUUAAACAUAUGAUUUAAUUUUGAAUGUUACAAAGAUGAAGAGAUUGAGGAAGACAAUAAGUUUUUUCUCAUCCUUGUAACCUUUUUUCAACCCUAAGAGUGCUAUAUAUAUGACUUUUCUGCUUUUUGAAAUCUCAUGCAGAAAAGUGAAAAGGCUUGAUCAAUC
This 460-nucleotide long non-coding RNA is filed under the name Vitis vinifera (wine grape). RNAcentral describes it as "long non-coding RNA (VVIN_LNC001133)". The record is from RNAcentral. Lineage: Eukaryota; Viridiplantae; Streptophyta; Magnoliopsida; Vitales; Vitaceae.